Molecule: ribosomal RNA, 464 nt
Filed under: uncultured bacterium
Lineage: Bacteria
Description: bacterial SSU rRNA
Rfam family: Bacterial small subunit ribosomal RNA
Source: RNAcentral
CCAGACUCCUACGGGAGGCAGCAGUGAGGAAUAUUGGUCAAUGGACGCAAGUCUGAACCAGCCAUGCCGCGUGCAGGAAGACGGCUCUAUGAGUUGUAAACUGCUUUUGUACGAGGGUAAAUCCCGAUACGUGUAUCGGGUUGAAAGUAUCGUACGAAUAAGGAUCGGCUAACUCCGUGCCAGCAGCCGCGGUAAUACGGAGGAUUCAAGCGUUAUCCGGAUUUAUUGGGUUUAAAGGGUGCGUAGGCGGUUCGAUAAGUUAGAGGUGAAAUCCCGGGGCUCAACUCCGGCACUGCCUCUGAUACUGUCGGGCUAGAGUUUAGUUGCGGUAGGCGGAAUGUAUGGUGUAGCGGUGAAAUGCAUAGAGAUCAUACAGAACACCGAUUGCGAAGGCAGCGUACCGGCUCCACACUGACGCUGAGGCACGAAAGCGUGGGUAUCGAACAGGAUUAGAUACCCCUGUA